UACGUAGGCGGAAAAUUAAGUCAGUAGUGAAAUCCUGCAGCUCAACUGUAGAACUGUUAUUGAUACUGGUUUUCUUGAAUGUAGUUGAGGUAGGCGGAAUGUGUAAUGUAGCGGUGAAAUGCUUAGAUAUUACACAGAACACCGAUUGCGAAGGCAGCUUACUAAGCUAUGAUUGACGCUGAGGUACGAAAGCGUGGGGAGCGAACAGGAUUAGAUACCCUGGUAGUCC
RNAcentral lists this ribosomal RNA (229 nucleotides) under uncultured bacterium. Its description in RNAcentral is "partial 16S ribosomal RNA". It matches the Rfam family "Bacterial small subunit ribosomal RNA", at positions 568 to 796 of the family's 1533-position model. The record is from RNAcentral.